This is a long non-coding RNA of Ficedula albicollis (Collared flycatcher), 627 nucleotides long. The record is from Ensembl. NCBI's taxonomy places the organism in Eukaryota, Metazoa, Chordata, Aves, Passeriformes, Muscicapidae.
ACACGCCCCGUGCACACAGCCUAUGUACACACCCUGGCGGCCCGGACCACGCUCAAGAGGGCUUUCAGGGCGGGUUUGAGAAAGUGCUGGGAUCGGCUGGAUAUGAAGAAUAAAAAGGAGGCCCCUGCACCAGAGCGUGCGCGGGGGGAGACGUUCCGGUGCGACGGGGGGUGCCGCAGCAGCACGGGGAGGACAGAAGGUCACAGGAGAAGGCUGGCACCAGCCCCACGCAUACCGAGAGCUGUCAGCAUCUCGCUGUUCCCGGUGUUCUGCAUCUGGAGGUGGAAUUCCCACCACAAGGCGUUCUUCUCCCGCCGAGAGGGACCAAACCGUGUCCCCCGAGUCAUCCUGAGGAUAACCACAGCCACGGGACAAGGUGUUCCCCUAUGGCUAAGCUACCUGAUGAAAGGAGGGAUAGGUUGCAUCAAGACCCAGUGCCGUGACCAGCCGUGGAACAGGGACAAUUGGGCAGCUGUGCUGUGCUGCCUGAAAAGGAUUUGUCAGCUUGUGAAGAAAAUGCCAUCAGUCUUUGCGCCAGGUUACACCUAUUGGGGCUCUGACACUGCCUGGAGCUCCCUGUGCAUCAAGUGCAGGUUUUCUUUGCAACUCUGGGCUCAAGCACAUUAG